Molecule: ribosomal RNA, 459 nt
Filed under: uncultured bacterium
Lineage: Bacteria
Description: partial 16S ribosomal RNA
Rfam family: Bacterial small subunit ribosomal RNA
Source: RNAcentral
CCUACGGGCGGCAGCAGUGAGGAAUAUUGGUCAAUGGGCGGGAGCCUGAACCAGCCAAGUCGCGUGAGGGAAGAAGGCCCUGUGGAUCGUAAACCUCUUUUGCCGGGGAGCAAAAGACCCGACGCGUCCGGUCCUGAGAGUACCCGAAGAAAAAGCAUCGGCUAACUCCGUGCCAGCAGCCGCGGUAAUACGGAGGAUGCGAGCGUUAUCCGGAUUCAUUGGGUUUAAAGGGUGCGCAGGCGGGAAUUCAAGCCGGCGGUAAAAUGGAGGGGCUCAACCCCGUCGAGCCGGCGGAACUGGGUGCCUUGAGUGAGUCGGAGGUAUGCGGAAUGCGUGGUGUAGCGGUGAAAUGCAUAGAUAUCGCGCAGAACCCCGAUUGCGAAGGCAGCGUGCCGGGGCGCAACUGACGCUGAGGCACGAAAGUGCGGGUAUCGAACAGGAUUAGAUACCCCAGUAGUC